Molecule: ribosomal RNA, 910 nt
Filed under: uncultured archaeon
Lineage: Archaea
Description: bacterial SSU rRNA
Rfam family: Archaeal small subunit ribosomal RNA
Source: RNAcentral
UUCCGGUUGAUCCUGCCGGAGGUCACUGCUAUUGGGAUUCGACUAAGCCAUGCGAGUCGAGAGGGUUCGGCCCUCGGCUGACGGCUCAGUAACACGUGGAUAAUCUGCCCUUAGGUGGAGGAUACCCUCGGGAAACUGAGAAUAAUACUCCAUAGGCCUAGGAUGCUGGAAUGCAUCUAGGCUCAAAGUUCCGGCGCCUAAGGAUGAGUCUGCGGACUAUCAGGUUGUAGUCAGGGUAAUGACCUGACUAGCCUACGACGGAUAUGGGUUGUGAGAGCAAUAACCCAGAGAUGAUAUCUGAGACACGAUAUCAGGCCCUACGGGGCGCAGCAGGCGCGAAAACUUCACACUGUGCGAAAGCGCGAUGAGGGAAUCCCAAGUGCUUGCUCGUAAGAGUAAGCUGUUUUUAUGUUUAAAACGCAUAGAGAGUAAGAGCUGGGUAAGACGGGUGCCAGCCGCCGCGGUAAUACCUGCAGCUCGAGUGGUGGCCGCUAUUAUUGGGCCUAAAACGUCCGUAGCCGGUUUAAUAAAUGCCUGGGUAAAUCGUGUAGCUCAACUAUACGAAUUCCAGGUAGACUGUUAAACUUGGGACUGGGAGAAGCUAGAGGUACUCCUGGGGUAGAGGUGAAAUUCUGUAAUCCUAGGGGGACCACCAGUGGCGAAGGCGUCUAGCUAGAGCGGGCCUGACGGUGAGGGACGAAGCCCUGGGGCGCAAACCGGAUUAGAUACCCGGGUAGUCCAGGGUGUAAACGCUGCUUGCUUGAUGUUAGUCGGGCUCCGAGCCCGAUUAGUGUCGGAGAGAAGUUGUUAAGCAAGCUGCCUGGGAAGUACGGCCGCAGACUGAAACUUAAAGGAAUUGGCGGGGGAGCACAGCAACGGGUGAGCGUGCGUUUAAUUGGAUCAACGCCGG